RNAcentral lists this transfer RNA (69 nucleotides) under Ictidomys tridecemlineatus (thirteen-lined ground squirrel). RNAcentral describes it as "Spermophilus tridecemlineatus (thirteen-lined ground squirrel) tRNA". It matches the Rfam family "tRNA". Rfam says of the family: Transfer RNA (tRNA) molecules are approximately 80 nucleotides in length. The record is from Rfam by way of RNAcentral. Lineage: Eukaryota; Metazoa; Chordata; Mammalia; Rodentia; Sciuridae.
GGGGCUGUAGCUCAGUGGUAGAGCACUUGCCUGGCAUGUGUGAGACACUGGGUUCAAUCCUCAGUACCA